CAAUAGCGUAUAUUAAUGUUGUUGCAGUUAAAAAGCUCGUAGUUGGAUUUCUGGUGGGAGCGGUUGGUCUGCCCCGCGAGGGGUAGUUACUGAGCCGUAUCCGGCCCUUUUCGGGUUGACCGUGGCUGGCAUUAAUUUGUCGGUGCGGGAGGCCCGUCGUUUACUGUGAACAAAUUAGAGUGUUCAAAGCAGGGUGUUCUUGAAUACAUUAGCAUGGAAUAAUGAGAUAGGACUUUGGUGGUUCUCACUUUGUUGUGGGAUAUUUUGUUGGUUUGCACGCCAAAGUAAUGAUUAAUAGGAGCAGUUGGGGGUAUUCGUAUUCAAUUGUCAGAGGUGAAAUUCUUGGAUUUCUAGAAGACGAACUACUGCGAAAGCAUUUACCAAGGAUGUUUNCAUUAA
This 399-nucleotide ribosomal RNA is filed under the name uncultured eukaryote. Its description in RNAcentral is "partial 18S ribosomal RNA". It matches the Rfam family "Eukaryotic small subunit ribosomal RNA", at positions 592 to 976 of the family's 1831-position model. The record is from RNAcentral.